This 482-nucleotide ribosomal RNA is filed under the name uncultured bacterium. Its description in RNAcentral is "partial 16S ribosomal RNA". It matches the Rfam family "Bacterial small subunit ribosomal RNA", at positions 28 to 507 of the family's 1533-position model. The record is from RNAcentral.
GACGAACGCUGGCGGCGUGCUUAACACAUGCAAGUCGAACGCUGAAGCUCAGCUUGCUGGGUGGAUGAGUGGCGAACGGGUGAGUAACACGUGAGUAACCUGCCCUCUUCUUUGGGAUAACGCCCGGAAACGGGUGCUAAUACUGGAUAUUCACUGAUUCUCGCAUGGGGGUUGGUGGAAAGGUUUUUUCUGGUGGGGGAUGGGCUCGCGGCCUAUCAGCUUGUUGGUGGGGUGAUGGCCUACCAAGGCUUUGACGGGUAGCCGGCCUGAGAGGGUGACCGGUCACAUUGGGAGUGAGAUACGGCCCAGACUCCUACGGGAGGCAGCAGUGGGGAAUAGUGCACAAUGGGCGAAAGCCUGAGGCAGCGACGCCGCGUGAGGGAUGGAGGCCUUCGGGUUGGAAACCUCUUUCGCUCAUGGUCAAGCCGCAGCUUUGGGUUGUGGUGAGGGUAGUGGGUAAAGAAGCGCCGGCUAACUACGUG